Heterocephalus glaber (naked mole-rat) is the source of this 889-nucleotide long non-coding RNA. NCBI's taxonomy places the organism in Eukaryota, Metazoa, Chordata, Mammalia, Rodentia, Bathyergidae. The record is from Ensembl.
GAGGAAAUCUGUUUAUCUACCUUCUACCUACUCCACCGCCUCCAAGGAUUGCGAAUUUGCCCUCAAUGGAAUGUUUAUUUUGUCUACAGGUGGGAGAAGGGAGGCUGGCAGAAAUUAAGUAACUCGUCUAAGUCAUAUGGCUAAGAAAUGACCGACUUCUUAACUCGCGGCGCGCACACCUUUGGGCAUUGAACACCUGACGACCGAGGGGAGAGGCUGGGUCCCGCGCAGGCCUUCAUCCGAGAGCAGCCAGAGACAGCAGUGCACUCUGACCACCAAAGUGGGCACCACAUUCCUGUAUCUCUGGGGGAUGGCCCCCGAUACCCUGGCCCUGGAUGGUGGCAACAGCCUAGCCUGCUCAAGCCAAUGAAGAAAAAAUGGUCCCCACUUUGCUCAAGCAGGUCAUAAACAAGAAUCUUAUUUGGUGCUAAAAGGAAACAUUGGAUGAAGUAACAACAAAUAACUGUCAAUCCCAGAACUGGGAUUGGUUUGACAGGUGAGCUAUUCCAUGUACAAUACCACCCUCUGCUGGCCAAAGGAGGAAGAGAGGCAGAAAGCUACAGAACCGCGCUGUACAGCUCCAAACCUUGGGAAGCGGCUGGGACUGGAGAGGGACCGGGAGCCUGGAUCUUGGACUUCCCAGUCUUCAGAACUCCAGAAGAAAAUAGAGGAUGCACAGUUAAAUUAGAAUCCCAGGAAGCAGCUCACAUGGGCUCGGAACAAAUACCGGCAGCUACUCCUCUGCCCUCAUUACCUGGAAAACAGUUGAUUACUUAAGGAGACAUUUUCUGGAUCAAAUGCUAGCAAAAUCAAGCUCAAAAUGACUACAGUCCUCCAAAAGGAAGGUAGUAUUUGUGUCGCUGAAAAUUGAGUCAUUCAAAAGUCCGAG